Molecule: long non-coding RNA, 760 nt
Organism: Rattus norvegicus (Norway rat)
Lineage: Eukaryota; Metazoa; Chordata; Mammalia; Rodentia; Muridae
Source: RefSeq, a predicted model, not a curated record
AGAGGACCUUGUUCCCCUGGUGUCCUCCACUUCCUCUGAUGUUUACACUCUUUCUACCUUUUCUUCUUCGGGGCUUCCCUGAACUCUGAGUCCUGCAAGAGAUGGGCUGUCACCUUCCUGCUCCUGCUGCCAAGCCUGUUGCCUGAUGCUCUACGGUCCCCACCACUCUGAACUCUAAACCUCUGGACUCUAAGACAAAAUGGACUCUUCAAUCACUCAAUACUGUUAGGACUUUUGAUGGUACCGUCUUCAAGAAUAGUCAAAGGAAAAUGUUAACAAGACAUGUGCUGACUACAUUCUACCAAGAGGAAAAGAAGAAAUUCUUACAGAGAAGGAAAAAGGAUACUGAAAGUCUACUCUAGCACUUACUAAUAGAGUGUAACAAAUUAUGGGGUUUUAGAAAUUCAAUUUAGCUCUCAACAUGUGCCGCUUCACCACCUGCGUACACAAGAGUCACACCCACACUAGCUCCCUCUGCCAGCUCCACCUCAUUCCUCCUCCUCAUUAGCCAACACCUAAUUACAUACUAAUUGGCUCAGAGAACACAAGCUUGUUAUUGCACUAAAAACACUCAGAGCUCCCCCACAGACAGAUUCUCAUGAAAACCAAAUAUAAAAGGAGUUGGCCUUGUGCCUGGUUUUCAUCAGGACAUAGCUAGAUGCUUCUAGGUCCUUCCUGGCUUUGCUUUCAUGCUUCUAUGAAGUCAUUUUCUUCAGGGACACAUAUGCAUGACAAUUUCAGAAAUAAAGGACUUUAAAAA